RNAcentral lists this transfer RNA (72 nucleotides) under Camelus bactrianus (Bactrian camel). It matches the Rfam family "tRNA". Rfam says of the family: Transfer RNA (tRNA) molecules are approximately 80 nucleotides in length. The record is from Rfam by way of RNAcentral. Lineage: Eukaryota; Metazoa; Chordata; Mammalia; Artiodactyla; Camelidae. RNAcentral also lists the same sequence under 2 other names.
GAGGGUGUAGCUCAGUGGUAGAGCACAUGCUUAGCAAGCACGAAAUCCUGUAUUCAAUCCCCAAUACCUCCA